UACGUAGGGGGCGAGCGUUGUCCGGAUUUAUUGGGCGUAAAGAGCGUGUAGGCGGCCUGGUAGGUCAGCUGUGAAAACUCGGGGCUCAACCCCGAGCCUGCAGUGGAUACGGGCUAGCUAGAGUUCGGUAGGGGAGACUGGAAUUCCUGGUGUAGCGGUGAAAUGCGCAGAUAUCAGGAAGAACACCCGUGGCGAAGGCGGCUCUCUGGGACGGUACUGACGCUGAGACGCGAAAGCGUGGGGAGCGAACAGG
Molecule: ribosomal RNA, 253 nt
Filed under: uncultured bacterium
Lineage: Bacteria
Description: partial 16S ribosomal RNA
Rfam family: Bacterial small subunit ribosomal RNA
Source: RNAcentral